GGGUUGUGAGGUUAAGCGACUAAGCGUACACGGUGGAUGCCCGGCAGUCAGAGGCGAUGAAGGACGUGCUAAUCUGCGAAAAGCGUCGGUAAGGUGAUAUGAACCGUUAUAACCGGCGAUGUCCGAAUGGGGAAACCCAGUGCAAUUCGUUGCACUAUCGUUAACUGAAUACAUAGGUUAACGAGGCGAACCGGGGAACUGAAACAUCUAAGUACCCCGAGGAAAAGAAAUCAACCGAGAUUCCCCAGUAGCGGCGAGCGAACGGGGAGCAGCCCAGAGUCUGAAUCAGCUUGUGUGUUAGUGGAACGGUCUGGAAAGUCCGACGGUACAGGGUGAUAGUCCCGUACACCAAAAUGCACAGGCUGUGAACUCGAAGAGUAGGGCGGGGGACACGUGGUAUCCUGUCUGAAUAUGGGGGACCAUCCUCCAAGGCUAAAUACUCCUGACUGACCGAUAGUGAACCAGUACCGUGAGGGAAAGGCGAAAAGAACCCCGGCGAGGGGAGUGAAAAAGAACCUGAAACCGUGUACGUACAAGCAGUGGGAGCACCUUCGGGUGUGACUGCGUACCUUUUAUAUAAUGGGUCAGCGACUUAUAUUCUGUAGCAAGGUUAACCGUAUAGGGGAGCCGCAGGGAAACCGAGUCUUAACUGGGCGUUAAGUUGCAGGGUAUAGACCCGAAACCCGGUGAUCUAGCCAUGGGCAGGUUGAAGGUUGGGUAACACUAACUGGAGGACCGAACCGACUAAUGUUGAAAAAUUAGCGGAUGACUUGUGGCUGGGGGUGAAAGGCCAAUCAAACCGGGAGAUAGCUGGUUCUCCCCGAAAGCUAUUUAGGUAGCGCCUCGUGAAUUCAUCUUCGGGGUAGAGCACUGUUUCGGCUAGGGGUCAUCCCGACUUACCAACCCGAUGCAAACUACGAAUACCGAAGAAUGUUAUCACGGGAGACACACGGCGGGUGCUAACGUCCGUCGUGAGGGAAAACAACCCAGACCGCCAGCUAAGGUCCCAAAGUCAUGGUUAAGUGGGAAACGAUGUGGGAAGGCACAGACAGCCGGGAUGUUGGCUUAGAAGCAGCCAUCAUUUAAAGAAAGCGUAAUAGCUCACUGGUCGAGUCGGCCUGCGCGGAAGAUGUAACGGGGCUAAACCAUGCACCGAAGCUGCGGCAGCGACACUAUGUGUUGUUGGGUAGGGGAGCGUUCUGUAAGCCUGCGAAGGUGACCUGUGAGGGUUGCUGGAGGUAUCAGAAGUGCGAAUGCUGACAUAAGUAACGAUAAAGCGGGUGAAAAGCCCGCUCGCCGGAAGACCAAGGGUUCCUGUCCAACGUUAAUCGGGGCAGGGUGAGUCGACCCCUAAGGCGAGGCCGAAAGGCGUAGUCGAUGGGAAACAGGUUAAUAUUCCUGUACUUGGUGUUACUGCGAAGGGGGGGACGGAGAAGGCUAUGUUAGCCGGGCGACGGUUGUCCCGGUUUAAGCAUGUAGGCUGGUUAUCCGUGCAAAUCCGGAUAAUCAAGGCUGAGGUGUGAUGACGAGGCACUACGGUGCUGAAGUAACAAAUGCCCUGCUUCCGGAAAAGCCUCUAAGCAUCAGGUAACAUCAAAUCGUACCCCAAACCGACACAGGUGGUCAGGUAGAGAAUACCAAGGCGCUUGAGAGAACUCGGGUGAAGGAACUAGGCAAAAUGGUGCCGUAACUUCGGGAGAAGGCACGCUGGUGUGUAGGUGAAGUCCCUGCGGAUGGAGCUGAGACCAGUCGAAGAUACCAGCUGGCUGCAACUGUUUAUUAAAAACACAGCACUGUGCAAACACGAAAGUGGACGUAUACGGUGUGACGCCUGCCCGGUGCCGGAAGGUUAAUUGAUGGGGUUAUCCGUAAGGAGAAGCUCUUGAUCGAAGCCCCGGUAAACGGCGGCCGUAACUAUAACGGUCCUAAGGUAGCGAAAUUCCUUGUCGGGUAAGUUCCGACCUGCACGAAUGGCGUAAUGAUGGCGGGCUGUCUCCACCCGAGACUCAGUGAAAUUGAACUCGCUGUGAAGAUGCAGUGUACCCGCGGCAAGACGGAAAGACCCCGUGAACCUUUACUAUAGCUUGACACUGAACAUUGAGCCUUGAUGUGUAGGAUAGGUGGGAGGCUUUGAAGCGUGGACGCCAGUCUGCGUGGAGCCAACCUUGAAAUACCACCCUUUAAUGUUUGAUGUUCUAACGUUGGCCCCUUACCGGGGUUGCGGACAGUGUCUGGUGGGUAGUUUGACUGGGGCGGUCUCCUCCCAAAGCGUAACGGAGGAGCACGAAGGUUAGCUAAUCUGGUCGGACAUCAGGAGGUUAGUGCAAUGGCAUAAGCUAGCUUGACUGCGAGCGUGACGGCGCGAGCAGGUGCGAAAGCAGGUCAUAGUGAUCCGGUGGUUCUGAAUGGAAGGGCCAUCGCUCAACGGAUAAAAGGUACUCCGGGGAUAACAGGCUGAUACCGCCCAAGAGUUCAUAUCGACGGCGGUGUUUGGCACCUCGAUGUCGGCUCAUCACAUCCCGGGCUGAAGUAGGUCCCAAGGGUAUGGCUGUUCGCCAUUUAAAGUGGUACGCGAGCUGGGUUUAGAACGUCGUGAGACAGUUCGGUCCCUAUCUGCCGUGGGCGCUGGAGAAUUGAGGGGGCUGCUCCUAGUACGAGAGGACCGGAGUGGACGCAUCACUGGUGUUCGGGUUGUCAUGCCAAUGGCACUGCCCGGUAGCUAAAUGCGGAAGAGAUAAGUGCUGAAAGCAUCUAAGCACGAAACUUGCCCCGAGAUGAGUUCUCCCUGAGACUUUAAGUCUCCUGAAGGAACGUUGAAGACGACGACGUUGAUAGGCCGGGUGUGUAAGCGCAGCGAUGCGUUGAGCUAACCGGUACUAAUGAACCGUGAGGCUUAAACCUUACAACGCCGAAG
This 2914-nucleotide ribosomal RNA is filed under the name Klebsiella pneumoniae. RNAcentral describes it as "23S ribosomal RNA". It matches the Rfam family "Bacterial large subunit ribosomal RNA". The record is from RNAcentral. Lineage: Bacteria; Pseudomonadati; Pseudomonadota; Gammaproteobacteria; Enterobacterales; Enterobacteriaceae.